Molecule: ribosomal RNA, 745 nt
Filed under: uncultured bacterium
Lineage: Bacteria
Description: bacterial SSU rRNA
Rfam family: Bacterial small subunit ribosomal RNA
Source: RNAcentral
ACGCUGGCGGCAGGCCUAACACAUGCAAGUCGAGCGGUAGAGAGAAGCUUGCUUCUCUUGAGAGCGGCGGACGGGUGAGUAAUGCCUAGGAAUCUGCCUGGUAGUGGGGGAUAACGUUCGGAAACGGACGCUAAUACCGCAUACGUCCUACGGGAGAAAGCAGGGGACCUUCGGGCCUUGCGCUAUCAGAUGAGCCUAGGUCGGAUUAGCUAGUUGGUGGGGUAAUGGCUCACCAAGGCGACGAUCCGUAACUGGUCUGAGAGGAUGAUCAGUCACACUGGAACUGAGACACGGUCCAGACUCCUACGGGAGGCAGCAGUGGGGAAUAUUGGACAAUGGGCGAAAGCCUGAUCCAGCCAUGCCGCGUGUGUGAAGAAGGUCUUCGGAUUGUAAAGCACUUUAAGUUGGGAGGAAGGGCAGUUGCCUAAUACGUAACUGUUUUGACGUUACCGACAGAAUAAGCACCGGCUAACUCUGUGCCAGCAGCCGCGGUAAUACAGAGGGUGCAAGCGUUAAUCGGAAUUACUGGGCGUAAAGCGCGCGUAGGUGGUUUGUUAAGUUGGAUGUGAAAUCCCCGGGCUCAACCUGGGAACCGCAUUCAAAACUGACUGACUAGAGUAUGGUAGAGGGUGGUGGAAUUUCCUGUGUAGCGGUGAAAUGCGUAGAUAUAGGAAGGAACACCAGUGGCGAAGGCGACCACCUGGACUGAUACUGACACUGAGGUGCGAAAGCGUGGGGAGCAAAC